GGCUCAGGAUGAACGCUGGCGGUGUGUCUAAGGCAUGCAAGUCGAACGAGUUGAACUUUUGUAGCAAUACUUGAGUUCGACUAGUGGCAAACGGGUGAGUAACACAUUGGUAACCUGCCUUCAAGACGGGCACAACAUUGCGAAAGCGAUGCUAAUUCCCGAUGGUCUCUUCGGUGCGAUUCCGAAAGAGUAAACGUCCAAAAGACGCUUGAAGAGGGGCCUAUGGCCUAUCAGCUUGUUGGUGAGGUAACGGCUCACCAAGGUGACGACGGGUAGCAGGCGUGAGAGCGCGACCUGCCUCAGUGGGACUGCGAUACUGCCCACACUCCUACGGGAGGCUGCAGUCGAGAAUAUUCCACAAUGGGGGAAACCCUGAUGGAGCGACACCGCGUGGGGGAUGAAGGCCUUCGGGUCGUAAACCCCUUUUGCUUGGGACGAAGCGCAAGCUGACGGUACCAAGCGAAUAAGAGGUUGCUAACUCUGUGCCAGCAGCAGCGGUAAUACAGAGACCUCAAGCGUUAUCCGGAUUCACUGGGCGUAAAGCGUCCGCAGGUGGUUCAUUAAGUCGUUUGUCAAAUCCCGGUGCUCAACAUCGGAACUGCGAACGAUACUGAUGAACUUGAGGAUGGAAGAGGUAAGAGGAACUGCUGGUGUAGUAGUAAAAUGCGUUAAUAUCAGCAGGAACACCAAAGGCGAAGGCAUCUUACUGGGACAUUCCUGACACUCAUGGACGAAAGCGUGGGGAGCAAAACGGAUUAGAUACCCGUGUAGUCCACGCCCUAAACGAUGAGCGCUAGAUUUGGGAAGUAUCGACCCUUUCCGAGUCGUUUUACAAGCUAACGCGUUAAGCGCUCCGCCUGGGGAGUACGGCCGCAAGGCUAAAACUC
Molecule: ribosomal RNA, 887 nt
Filed under: uncultured bacterium
Lineage: Bacteria
Description: bacterial SSU rRNA
Rfam family: Bacterial small subunit ribosomal RNA
Source: RNAcentral